This 443-nucleotide ribosomal RNA is filed under the name uncultured bacterium. RNAcentral's name for it is "partial 16S ribosomal RNA". It matches the Rfam family "Bacterial small subunit ribosomal RNA", at positions 338 to 795 of the family's 1533-position model. The record is from RNAcentral.
CCUACGGGAGGCUGCAGUGGGGAAUAUUGGACAAUGGGGGGAACCCUGAUCCAGCGACGCCGCGUGAGUGAAGAAGUAUUUCGGUAUGUAAAGCUCUAUCAGCAGGGAAGAAAGAAAUGACGGUACUUGACUAAGAAGCCCCGGCUAACUACGUGCCAGCAGCCGCAGUAAUACGUAGGUGGCAAGCGUUAUCCGGAUUUACUGGGGGUAAAGGGAGCGUAGACGGCGAUGCAAGUCUGAAGUGAAAGGCGGGGGACCAACCCCCGGACUGCUUUGGAAACUGUAUGGCUGGAGUGCAGGAGAGGUAAGUGGAAUUCCUAGUGUAGCGGUGAAAGGCGUAGAUAUUAGGAGGAACACCAGUGGCGAAGGCGGCUUACUGGACUGUAACUGACGUUGAGGCUCGAAAGCGUGGGGAGCAAACAGGAUUAGAUACCCGGGUAGUC